UCAGGUCAGCUACGACACGAGCG
RNAcentral lists this microRNA (23 nucleotides) under Nematostella vectensis (starlet sea anemone). Its description in RNAcentral is "nve-miR-2040b-5p". The record is from miRBase by way of RNAcentral. Lineage: Eukaryota; Metazoa; Cnidaria; Anthozoa; Actiniaria; Edwardsiidae.